Molecule: ribosomal RNA, 267 nt
Filed under: uncultured bacterium
Lineage: Bacteria
Description: partial 16S ribosomal RNA
Rfam family: Bacterial small subunit ribosomal RNA
Source: RNAcentral
CGUAAACAGAGGGAAGCGAGCCUGCGAGGGGGAGCGAAUCCCAAAAAUAACGUCCCAGUUCGGAUUGUAGUCUGCAACCCGACUACAUGAAGCUGGAAUCGCUAGUAAUCGCGGAUCAGAAUGCCGCGGUGAAUACGUUCCCGGGUCUUGUACACACCGCCCGUCACACCAUGGGAGCUGGUAACACCCGAAGUCAGUAGUCUAACCGCAAGGAGGACGCCGCCGAAGGUGGGGUUGAUGAUUAGGGUUAAGUCGUAACAAGGUAUC